RNAcentral lists this ribosomal RNA (253 nucleotides) under uncultured bacterium. RNAcentral describes it as "partial 16S ribosomal RNA". It matches the Rfam family "Bacterial small subunit ribosomal RNA", at positions 524 to 776 of the family's 1533-position model. The record is from RNAcentral.
UACGUAGGGGGCGAGCGUUGUCCGGAUUUAUUGGGCGUAAAGAGCGUGUAGGCGGCCAGAUAGGUCAGCUGUGAAAACUCGAGGCUCAACCUCGAGAUGUCGGCUGAAACCAUCUGGCUAGAGUCCGGAAGAGGAGAAUGGAAUUCCCGGUGUAGCGGUGAAAUGCGCAGAUAUCGGGAAGAACACCCGUGGCGAAGGCGGUUCUCUGGGACGGUACUGACGCUGAGACGCGAAAGCGUGGGGAGCGAACAGG